Petromyzon marinus (sea lamprey) is the source of this 2166-nucleotide non-coding RNA. The record is from RefSeq and is a predicted model, not a curated record. Lineage: Eukaryota; Metazoa; Chordata; Hyperoartia; Petromyzontiformes; Petromyzontidae.
GGGGGGGCACGGGAGAGAGGGGACGGACGAAUCGGAAAUACAUCUGCGCCAUGUCUUCUCCUCCUCCUCCCCCUGCUCCUCCUCCCCGCGUGUUAUUUUUAUUUUAUUUUUAUUCCUUCCUGCUCGACCGCCACGAGGUGUCGACUGCCAGGAGUUGCGCAGAUGUCAUGCGGCAGGCACCACGCGGAGCCGCGCACAGACCCGGCUCUCCCGACUUGAACCUUCGCUUCCUUGCCCUGCCCCCCCCCAUUCAUCAUCAUCAGCAAGCACCGCAGGUGGGGACAGGAGAGAACCAGGAGGAGAAAUGAGGAGAGAGGAGGAUCGACACGAGUGAAGGAGAAUGCUUCGAAAUGCACAACACGGACACACACUCCAAGUAGCAGCAACUCUAUGGCUAAAGAAGCAGUCGACGUUUCCGCCUUCGACCCUUCCUCAUGCACUGGCUGACAAGAGGCAGGCGAUGGAGGAGGACGCUUGGGCGUGGCGGGAGAGGAGCCUCCUACCAGGCUGGUUUCACGUGGUGGCUUGAUGUGAAAGUGCGAUUCUAGCACCAUUUGAAAUCAGUGUUGGUGGGCAGAGCACGUGCGCCCACACCUGUGCACGGUGCACACCUGUAGAGUGCCAUACACCUGCACGCAAUGCCAUACACCUGUACACCAUGUCAUACACCUGUACACCAUGUCAUACACCUGUACGCAAUGCCAUACAACUAUACACAGUACCAUAUACCUGUAAACUAUAAACGUAUACAGGAUACUAUACACCUGUACAUAGUGGCAUAGACCUGUACACAAUUCCAUACACUUGUAAACUAUAAACUUGUACACAAUACCAUACGCCUACAACACAUUACACCUGGACAAUAUUGACCGACAACACAAUUUACCUGCUCACGUCACACUUGUUACCUACUGCCGCUGCUGCUGCCGCCAGACCACGUGGUAUGAGAGACAUCCGAUGACACAUUCUGUCCGGACCGUUAAUUCGCGAGCCCCGUUCCGAUAGGCAGCAGCUGUAGGAGACCGAGUAAUUCGCCAGAGAAGAACCCUCCGAGCAAGACUCCGACACCCGACUCGUUCACUCGGGACCCGAUCCCACACUGGCUGGCAAAACCGGUUUAAUCGGCGAAGCUGCCGACUUGUAAUCCGGUUUUAUCGGAUACCCCGAGUGCAGGGUGGAGGGCCUAGAGAGCGGUCUCCACGAAUCCGCUGACCAGGGAAGGGGAAGAGAAGACCUAAGUCAGAUGUUGGGAGACUUUCAGGGCAGAUCUCUGGGUCUCUGUGUGAAUCUGUGGGUGUCUUUGUGUCGGUCUAUGGGGCUCUGUGAGUAUCACUGUGGGUGACUCUCUUUUCUCUCUGAAUAAGGCCAGAGGGAGGGAGACUGUUGGGGCACAUCUCUGUGGUUCUCUCUGCGAGUCUCUGUGCGGUGGUCCAUCCCUUCGCUGUUAAGGGCCAUUGCCCGAAACGUCUAUUAUACAUGUUCUUGUGUCGAAUGUGUUGAUUGUUAUUUGAGUGUCGUCAGUCGGGGGGUUAAGUUUCAAGUUGAUUUUGUUUGACCAGCUGAGAAUUCAAGAGGCCAGGGAGUCUCAUUUGUCGAGUGACUCGGGGUGGUGAGUUGGGGUGCGGCAGAGGCUGGCGGGGGGGGGGGGGGUCCCGUGGGCUGUGCCCGACUCGCGUGACCGAUUUCCCUUGGUGUUUAGAUGUGGAUGUGGUCUCUAGCACCAUUAGAAAUCGGUUAUGCGGGCGGGAAUCGUCACCCACGUCGCCAUCGUCAGCUGCUACAGCGGUCGCACGAGGUGCAAGGAGAUGGGGGGGGGGUAUAGAGGCGAGCCGCGGGGAGCGGUGGCGCAGCGGUUAGCGCGCUGCGAAGCCGGCGACCCGAGGUCGACUCUCGAUCACGGUCAACAUCAACGCAGAUGAUUAUUUAAACUGGACCCGGCCAUCCCCUAGAUCGACUCGGUUCGAAAUGAGUACCUGGUGUAUAAACAUCGCCACUGGGGAGUCGCAGAGGCGGCCGGGCGUGGUGCUGCCCCCACCCAACUCCUCGUGCGCACAGUGCCGGCCUUCGGUUACUCGCUAACAGCACUCGCCCCAACAGUCUGUCAAGGCUGUAAGAGGUGUGUUAGUCAUGGUGCAAUAUAAUACUAAAUAAAUAUAUUGUUGUACA